GGUACCUUUAAAUCAGUCCAGAGAGGCUGACAAGGACAGCGCGAAUAGAAUAGUUACCAUGUGGAGUACCUUUGGGAAAGGUAUAUCUAAAUGUAUGCUAUUUAGGAAAAGCUUCUUGUCAGGGAUUGGACAGGAAGCUUUUUUCUU
Oceanobacillus oncorhynchi is the source of this 147-nucleotide regulatory RNA element. It matches the Rfam family "PyrR binding site". From Rfam's summary of the family: This family represents the PyrR binding site and terminator structure. This RNA structure is found upstream of a variety of genes involved in pyrimidine biosynthesis and transport. The alignment also includes a portion of the antiterminator structure. Lineage: Bacteria; Bacillati; Bacillota; Bacilli; Caryophanales; Bacillaceae. The record is from Rfam.